GGAAUAAAAGUCGUAACAAGGUUUCCGUAGGUGAACCUGCGGAAGGAUCAUUAUUGUAUAACCGAGGUGCGAGGGCUGUCGCUGACCCGAAAGGUCGUGCACGCCCGAGUGCCCUCACACACAUCCAUCUCACCCCUAUGUGCACCACCGCGUGGGUCCCCCUUUGGCUUGUUCGGAGGGGGGCUUACGUCUUCACACAAACUUUGUAUGCAGUGUAGAAUGUAUUUUUUGUUUUUGCGAUCACGCAAUCAAUACAACUUUCAACAACGGAUCUCUUGGCUCUC
RNAcentral lists this unclassified non-coding RNA (284 nucleotides) under plant metagenome. RNAcentral describes it as "partial contains small subunit ribosomal RNA, internal transcribed spacer 1, and 5.8S ribosomal RNA". The stretch from base 1 to 53 matches the Rfam family "Eukaryotic small subunit ribosomal RNA", at positions 1779 to 1831 of the family's 1831-position model. The record is from RNAcentral.